AGGACGAACGCUGGCGGCGUGCCUAAUACAUGCAAGUCGAACGGUCUUUCUAUGGAAGCUUGCUUCCACUGGGAAGAUAGUGGCGGACGGGUGAGUAACACGUGGGUAACCUGCCCAUAAGAGGGGGGAUAACAUCCGGAAACGGGUGCUAAUACCGCAUAGUUUUCUUGAUCGCAUGGUCGAGAAAGGAAAGACGGCCUUUGUGCUGUCGCUUAUGGAUGGACCCGCGGCGUAUUAGUUAGUUGGUGAGGUAACGGCUCACCAAGACGAUGAUACGUAGCCGACCUGAGAGGGUGAUCGGCCACAUCGGGACUGAGACACGGCCCAAACUCCUACGGGAGGCAGCAGUAGGGAAUCUUCCGCAAUGGACGAAAGUCUGACGGAGCAACGCCGCGUGAGUGAAAGAAGGUUUUCGGAUCGUAAAACUCUGUUGUCAGAGAAGAACAAGUCGGAGAGUAACUGCUCCGGCCUUGACGGUAUCUGACCAGAAAGCCACGGCUAACUACGUGCCAGCCGCGGC
Molecule: ribosomal RNA, 520 nt
Filed under: uncultured bacterium
Lineage: Bacteria
Description: bacterial SSU rRNA
Rfam family: Bacterial small subunit ribosomal RNA
Source: RNAcentral